GUGCCUACGGGACGCAGCAGUGAGGAAUAUUGGUCAAUGGGCUUACGCCUGAACCAGCCAAGUCGCGUGAGGGAUGAAGGUACAGAGUAUCGUAAACCUCUUUUGUCAGGGAACAAAGGCGGGGACGUGUCCCCGGAUGAGUGUACCUGAAGAAAAAGCAUCGGCUAACUCCGUGCCAGCAGCCGCGGUAAUACGGAGGAUGCGAGCGUUAUCCGGAUUUAUUGGGUUUAAAGGGUGCGCAGGCGGUCUGUUAAGUCAGCGGUCAAAGCCCGGGGCUCAACCCCGGCCCGCCG
RNAcentral lists this ribosomal RNA (293 nucleotides) under uncultured bacterium. RNAcentral's name for it is "partial 16S ribosomal RNA". It matches the Rfam family "Bacterial small subunit ribosomal RNA", at positions 335 to 626 of the family's 1533-position model. The record is from RNAcentral.